GUGCGCCGCGCCUCUGAGGCGCAGCAUGUGAAGCGGAGACGGCAUCCAGUGGGGGGCGAGCCUCUCAGCCGGCCGGGAUGGCUACCACGGCCGAGCUCUUCGAGGAGCCUUUUGUGGCAGAUGAAUAUAUUGAACGUCUUGUAUGGAGAACCCCAGGAGGAGGCUCUAGAGGUGGACCUGAAGCUUUUGAUCCUAAAAGAUUAUUAGAAGAAUUUGUAAAUCAUAUUCAGGAACUCCAGAUAAUGGAUGAAAGGAUUCAGAGGAAAGUAGAGAAACUAGAGCAACAAUGUCAGAAAGAAGCCAAGGAAUUUGCCAAGAAGGUACAAGAGCUGCAGAAAAGCAAUCAGGUUGCCUUCCAACAUUUCCAAGAGCUAGAUGAGCACAUUAGCUAUGUAGCAACUAAAGUCUGUCACCUUGGAGACCAGUUAGAGGGGGUAAACACACCCAGACAACGGGCAGUGGAGGCUCAGAAAUUGAUGAAAUACUUUAAUGAGUUUCUAGAUGGAGAAUUGAAAUCUGAUGUUUUUACAAAUUCUGAAAAGGUAAGUGCUGUCAGAGGAUAAAACCAAAUCACAGCAUUAAUAACAGUGCCCU
This 594-nucleotide small RNA is filed under the name Pan troglodytes (chimpanzee). RNAcentral's name for it is "retained intron". Lineage: Eukaryota; Metazoa; Chordata; Mammalia; Primates; Hominidae. The record is from RNAcentral.